RNAcentral lists this ribosomal RNA (394 nucleotides) under uncultured bacterium. Its description in RNAcentral is "bacterial SSU rRNA". It matches the Rfam family "Bacterial small subunit ribosomal RNA", at positions 28 to 420 of the family's 1533-position model. The record is from RNAcentral.
GAUGAACGCUGGCGGCGUGCUUAACACAUGCAAGUCGAACGGUGAAGCAGGAGCUUGCUCCUGUGGAUCAGUGGCGAACGGGUGAGUAACACGUGAGUAACCUGCCCCAGACUCUGGGAUAAGCACUGGAAACGGUGUCUAAUACCGGAUACGAGCUUCAGCCGCAUGGCUAGAAGCUGGAAAGAAUUUCGGUCUGGGAUGGACUCGCGGCCUAUCAGGUAGUUGGUGAGGUAACGGCCCACCAAGCCUACGACGGGUAGCCGGCCUGAGAGGGUGACCGGCCACACUGGGACUGAGACACGGCCCAGACUCCUACGGGAGGCAGCAGUGGGGAAUAUUGCACAAUGGGCGCAAGCCUGAUGCAGCAACGCCGCGUGAGGGACGACGGCCUCGG